AUGCAACAAGAGAGCAAAUAAAUUGUUCACUCGUGGAGGCAUUAAGAGAGCGUGUAGUAUGACGUCAUGUCCAGAACGCGAGUGUUCGUUGACGUGCUCGAAUUACAAACCUAGAGCGGGACCGUUUGGCAGAGCAAUGAACGGAUGGCGCGAAGAUUUAGAGAUUUUGUGCCGGUAUUCCUAUGAUUAAAAGGAAGCUGGAAGCCGCAGUUCGAAGCAAACUGACCCGUCUUGACCUAUUGACUAAAGUAGUGAAAACAGUUCUACUGUUCAAAAGCUCCUUGAAAGCCCGUGCCUUGUCAUCUUGCCCGGACAGUUCCCACGAAGCCAAAUUAAACAAACAUGAUUGUUACAAAGUCAAAUAACUUGGUACAGAGGGUAGGAUAGAAGCCCCGGCUCAGCUUAGCUCGACUAUAUUAGUGAAUCCCCACGGAUUUCCCAACAGGGAGAGACUUUAAUCAAACUGCUGUCGGUAUUGUUCUAGCGUACCCCACCUGUGUGACAAUGAUGUCAUUGUCAUCAAUGGAGUACACUGCUUUGCGCGUGGAUCUACCACCGCUCUCACUCACUGACACUAGCUUGGACAACUUGCAAAAUUAACGAACCAGUUUGGCGUGCAACGCGCUAAACCUCGGGGCUGCCUUGUCACCCCCUGGAUAGGGAAUCUACUAAUGAAAUAUAGGCAUGAGACGUCAUGAGAUGUGACGUGUAGCGGGUAAUCCACAUGGGACGGUCACCCUCAUCCGGAUCCACCGUAGUUGGUAAAUGUUCCAAGAGUUUCGAGGAAGGAACCACGUCACUGGCAAGCUGUAUUUUCCUCAGAGAGACUCCAUCUGUCAGAGGUUUAUGAGAGGAUCUCGCUGUAAGAUUGGCGAAUGUCAAUAGAGCGCCACAUAUUGCUCCAUCUCCUAAUUACUUGGUUAAACUUUAUUAGUCUGCGAUCGGAAGCGUCCGUCACUCUGUUUGUACUGCGCUAUUGGCAUUGGGCUAACAUGGGUUUGGUAAAGAGAAAACACGUUUUGAACUAGAAGGGGAAAAAAUGAAGACCUUGACAUAUCACGCCCUAUCAAAAAUUGGGAGACACUCAGCCUAGCGGGGAGUUUUCCACGAUCAAAAGAUAUAGAUAUAUGUAUCUUAUGAUGUAGAUACAAUACUUAUGGUCUUGUUAAAAAUUUUGCAAAGAAGGACCCGUGAUUUCA
Molecule: RNA transcript, 1199 nt
Organism: Nematostella vectensis (starlet sea anemone)
Lineage: Eukaryota; Metazoa; Cnidaria; Anthozoa; Actiniaria; Edwardsiidae
Exons: 3
Source: RefSeq, a predicted model, not a curated record